AGCGAACGCUGGCGGCAGGCCUAACACAUGCAAGUCGAACGAACUCUUCGGAGUUAGUGGCGGACGGGUGAGUAACACGUGGGAACGUGCCUUUAGGUUCGGAAUAACUCAGGGAAACUUGUGCUAAUACCGAAUGUGCCCUUCGGGGGAAAGAUUUAUCGCCUUUAGAGCGGCCCGCGUCUGAUUAGCUAGUUGGUGAGGUAAAGGCUCACCAAGGCGACGAUCAGUUGCUGGUCUGAGAGGAUGAUCAGCCACAUUGGGACUGAGACACGGCCCAAACUCCUACGGGAGGCAGCAGUGGGGAAUCUUGCGCAAUGGGCGAAAGCCUGACGCAGCCAUGCCGCGUGAAUGAUGAAGGUCUUAGGAUUGUAAAAUUCUUUCACCGGGGACGAUAAUGACGGUACCCGGAGAAGAAGCCCCGGCUAACUUCGUG
This 433-nucleotide ribosomal RNA is filed under the name uncultured bacterium. RNAcentral's name for it is "partial 16S ribosomal RNA". It matches the Rfam family "Bacterial small subunit ribosomal RNA", at positions 29 to 507 of the family's 1533-position model. The record is from RNAcentral.